GACGAACGCUGGCGGCGUGCUUAACACAUGCAAGUCGAGCGGUAAGGCCCUUCGGGGUACACGAGCGGCGAACGGGUGAGUAACACGUGGGUGAUCUGCCCUGCACUUCGGGAUAAGCCUGGGAAACUGGGUCUAAUACCGGAUAUGACUACGGGAUGCAUGUCUUGUGGUGGAAAGAUUUAUCGGUGCAGGAUGGGCCCGCGGCCUAUCAGCUUGUUGGUGGGGUAAUGGCCUACCAAGGCGACGACGGGUAGCCGACCUGAGAGGGUGACCGGCCACACUGGGACUGAGACACGGCCCAGACUCCUACGGGAGGCAGCAGUGGGGAAUAUUGCACAAUGGGCGGAAGCCUGAUGCAGCGACGCCGCGUGAGGGAUGACGGCCUUCGGGUUGUAAACCUCUUUCGACAGGGACGAAGCGGAAGUGACGGUACCUGUAGAAGAAGCACCGGCCAACUACGUG
Molecule: ribosomal RNA, 462 nt
Filed under: Nocardia anaemiae
Lineage: Bacteria; Bacillati; Actinomycetota; Actinomycetes; Mycobacteriales; Nocardiaceae
Description: bacterial SSU rRNA
Rfam family: Bacterial small subunit ribosomal RNA
Source: RNAcentral